UACAGAGGUCUCAACCGUUGUUCGGAUUUACUGGGCGUAAAGGGCGCGUAGGCGGCCAGCACAAGUCAGUUGUGAAAUCUCCGAGCUUAACUCGGAACGGUCAACUGAUACUGUGCGGCUAGAGUGCGGAAGGGGCAACUGGAAUUCUUGGUGUAGCGGUGAAAUGCGUAGAUAUCAAGAGGAACACCUGCGGCGAAGGCGGGUUGCUGGGCCGACACUGACGCUGAGGCGCGAAAGCUAGGGGAGCGAACGGG
RNAcentral lists this ribosomal RNA (254 nucleotides) under uncultured bacterium. RNAcentral's name for it is "partial 16S ribosomal RNA". It matches the Rfam family "Bacterial small subunit ribosomal RNA", at positions 524 to 776 of the family's 1533-position model. The record is from RNAcentral.